RNAcentral lists this ribosomal RNA (331 nucleotides) under uncultured bacterium. RNAcentral describes it as "bacterial SSU rRNA". It matches the Rfam family "Bacterial small subunit ribosomal RNA", at positions 568 to 898 of the family's 1533-position model. The record is from RNAcentral.
UGCGUAGACGGUUAUGUAAGUCGGGUGUGAAAGCCCCGGGCUCAACCUGGGAAUGCCAUUCGAGACUGCGUAGCUAGGGUGCGGAAGAGGGAAGCGGAAUUUCCGGUGUAGCGGUGAAAUGCGUAGAUAUCGGAAGGAACACCAGUGGCGAAAGCGGCUUCCUGGUCCAGCACCGACGUUCAGGCACGAAAGCGUGGGGAGCAAACAGGAUUAGAUACCCUGGUAGUCCACGCCAUAAACGAUGAGAACUAGACGUUGAGAGGGUAAGCCUCGCAGUGUCGUAGCUAACGCGCUAAGUUCUCCGCCUGGGGAGUACGGCCGCAAGGUUGAA